RNAcentral lists this long non-coding RNA (253 nucleotides) under Elaeis guineensis (African oil palm). RNAcentral describes it as "long non-coding RNA (EGUI_LNC036655)". Lineage: Eukaryota; Viridiplantae; Streptophyta; Magnoliopsida; Arecales; Arecaceae. The record is from RNAcentral.
UAAGGAUGUCUCUACAAUGGGUUUCGAAUUUGAUAUCAUCAAAUCCAGUUCUGUGGGUUCAUUAGACUAUGUCGGUCCUUCUUCUUGUCGAACUUUGUUAAGCUCGAUUUUAAAGGUAUUUAUUCCUUCAUUAAAGAACUUCUUUUUCAAAAAGUGUGCUUUACUGUUGAUAAAUACUUUUUGUUCAGCAUGAAGAUAAAAAUAAUAUUUUCUCAUUUCCUUGAGAUAUCCUAUGAAGUUACACUUAUCGGAC